UGUUAGGUCAAGGUGCAGUUUUUUGGAGCAAUUAUAUGGGUUACUUUUUUAAUAUGAAUGGAUUGAUUUUUUAGAAAGAUUUUUGAAAAAGGAUUUGAAAGUAAAAUUUAUUUAAAUUGAGUAUUUAUAUGAAUAAAGAUUCUGAAAUAUGUACACAUUGCCCGUCACUCUUAUAUAAAGUAAGAUAAGUCGUAACAUAGUAGGUGUACCGGAAGGUGUACCUGGAAAUAUAAGGAGUAAGUAGCUAAAUAUUUAAGUAUAUUUUUUACACUAAUAUGAUAUYAAAAUGAUUUUACUUUUAAUUUGAUUUAUUUAAACUAAAAAGUUAAUAUAUUAUUAUAAUCUUAUCUGUGAAGGGGAGAUCACAUAUGAUUUUUAUAAUGUAUAAUAAUUGUACCUUUUGUAUCAGGGUUAAUUUAAAUGUAAUUAAAAAUGUAAUUUUCUCGAAAGGGGAAGAUUUAAGAUAUUUUAAUGUUACUGUGUCAUAAUUAAGGUUAAAUAUAUCUUGUUUUUGAUAAAAAUGGAGAUUUUUUAUAUCUAGUUACUUUCUAUUUUGGUUUAAUCAAUUCAGUUUUUGUAAUAUUUAUAAUAACAAAUAACAUUUAUGGGGAUAAUCUUAUAUUUAUUUUAAUAGUUCUAAUUGAUUUUAUUUAUUUUCUUAUGUUUAGAAUUAGCUUAUUGUAUGUAGUAAUUAUAUUAAUAUAUCACUAAUAUUAUUAGUCAACUUUAAGGGGAGAUAAAGUUGUUUAAAUUUUAUUAGUUUUUUAUAUUAAUAAUGAUUGAAUUAGUAGAAUUUUUUAAUAGUAAUUAAGAAUUUAGCAAAAUUUAAUCUUCGUUUGUUUAUCAAAAACAUUUUUGGGGAGAAGAAAAUAUUUUUUGAUAGUGCCUGCU
Molecule: ribosomal RNA, 891 nt
Filed under: Psylloidea gen. n. sp. LSSteg
Lineage: Eukaryota; Metazoa; Arthropoda; Insecta; Hemiptera
Description: partial small subunit ribosomal RNA
Source: RNAcentral